AUUGAACGCUAGCGGGAUGCUUUACACAUGCAAGUCGAACGAGUGGCGGACGGGUGAGUAAUAUAUCGGAACGUGCCCAGUAGCGGGGGAUAACUACUCGAAAGAGUGGCUAAUACCGCAUACUAUUGGAGCGGCCGAUAUCGGAUUAGCUAGUGGGUGGGGUAAAGUCUCACCAAGGCCACGCUCCUUCGAUGGUUUGAGAGGAGGACCAGCCACACUGGGACUGAGACACGGUCCAGAUUCCUACGGGAGGCAGCAGGGGGGAAUUUUGGACAAUGGGUGAAACCCUGAUCCAGCCAUCCCGCGUGUAUGAGAAGGCCCUAGGGUUGUAAAGUACUUUCAGUCGGGAGGCGUUACCGACAGAAGAAGCACCGGCUAACUCCGUGCCAGCAGCCGCGGUAAUAC
Molecule: ribosomal RNA, 405 nt
Filed under: uncultured bacterium
Lineage: Bacteria
Description: partial 16S ribosomal RNA
Rfam family: Bacterial small subunit ribosomal RNA
Source: RNAcentral